CAGAGCUGCAAAACUCCCACAAACCAUCGCGAAUCUUACCCGUACGGUUGCCUCGGCGCUGGCGGUCCGGAAGGCCCUCGGGCCCCCCGGAUCCUCGGGUCUCCCGCUCGCGGGAGGCUGCCCGCCGGAGUGCCGAAACCAAACUCUUGAUAUUUUACGUCUCUCUGAGUAAACUUUUAAAUAAGUCA
RNAcentral lists this unclassified non-coding RNA (188 nucleotides) under soil metagenome. Its description in RNAcentral is "partial internal transcribed spacer 1". The record is from RNAcentral.